AAUAAACGUUGGCGGCGUGCUUAACACCUGCAAGUCGAGCGAGAAAGGUCUUCGGACUGAGUACAGCGGCAAACGGGUGAGUAACACGUGGGAAUCUACCUUUUAGUGAAGAAUACCCUCGAGAAAUCGAGGUUAAUACUGCAUACGUCUCGAAAGAGAGAAAGAUGGCCUCUUUGCUGUCGCUGAAAAGAUGAGCCUGCGUACUAUUAGCUAGUUGGUAGGGUAAAGGCCUACAAGGCUAUGAUGGUUAGCCGGCCUGAGAGGGUGUACGGCCACACUGGAACUUAGACACGGUCCAGACUCCUACGGGAGGCAGCAGUGAGGAAUAUUGCGCAAUGGGCGAAAGCCUGACGCAGCGACGCCGCGUGGAGGAUGAAGGUCUUAGGAUUGUAAACUUCUGUUAAGCGGGAAGAAAGACGAAGUGUUAAUACCACUUUAUGAUGACGGUACCGCUAAAGAAAGACACCGGCUAAACUUCGUAGCCAGCAGCCGCGGUAAU
This 499-nucleotide ribosomal RNA is filed under the name uncultured bacterium. RNAcentral's name for it is "bacterial SSU rRNA". It matches the Rfam family "Bacterial small subunit ribosomal RNA", at positions 29 to 524 of the family's 1533-position model. The record is from RNAcentral.